Molecule: ribosomal RNA, 254 nt
Filed under: uncultured bacterium
Lineage: Bacteria
Description: partial 16S ribosomal RNA
Rfam family: Bacterial small subunit ribosomal RNA
Source: RNAcentral
UACGUAGGGUGCGAGCGUUAAUCGGAAUUACUGGGCGUAAAGCGUGCGCAGGCGGUUCGCUGUGUCCGAUGUGAAAGCCCCGGGCUUAACCUGGGAACUGCAUUGGUGACUGGCAGGCUUUGAGUGUGGCAGAGGGAGGUAGAAUUCCACGUGUAGCAGUGAAAUGCGUAGAGAUGUGGAGGAAUACCGAUGGCGAAGGCAGGUCUCUGGGCUGACACUGACGCUCAUGCACGAAAGCGUGGGGAGCAAACAGG